AUACCUUCUCGGCCUUUUGGCUAAGAUCAAGUGUAGUAUCUGUUCUUAUCAGCUUAAUCUCUGAUACAGGGGCAAUGCCCCUUCGAGAUUAACUCAAUUUCUCUCGCGGGAGGCUUCACCCGGGCGCUUGCGUCCCGAAGCCUCACGUGUGUCCUCGGAGCUGCACUACUUCCUUGGACGCACACCGUCU
Guillardia theta CCMP2712 is the source of this 190-nucleotide small nuclear RNA. It matches the Rfam family "U2 spliceosomal RNA". From Rfam's summary of the family: U2 is a small nuclear RNA (snRNA) component of the spliceosome (involved in pre-mRNA splicing). NCBI's taxonomy places the organism in Eukaryota, Cryptophyceae, Pyrenomonadales, Geminigeraceae. The record is from Rfam.